GGGCAAAGACAGCCUGUUUAGUUGCUUAGGAUCAGGAUGGAAUAAGGAUGGCAGAAUAUCAUGGUGAACAGAUGGGGGUCAACGUUCAGAGGGUAAUCUGGCCAGAAGAAGGAAGUUAAAGGUACAGACCAGCGUCUCAACACGGUUGCUUGAGAUUCCUGAUAGCAUGGUGGCUAGAUCCCAAAAAGGAGUGCUCCAAGAAGUAAAGUUCCCCAGUAACCAGCAAGAAGCAGAACUUCCAUUCUUAUGCUGUAACAACAAAGUGGCACUUCAACCAUCUGUCUCCUUCCCCUCUGUGUCAGUGGGGCCCAACAGGGAUCUGAGCUGAAGAUGAUUCACCUCAGACCAGCCUGGGCAACACGAUUCACCAUUACCUUUGGGGGCAUGUUUAAAAGAGAUGCUUUCAUGUCCAAGUCUGGAAAUCCCAGCAUCUGUCCUGUCUUCAGAUACAUUCUAUGAAUGUAAGAAGCAUGGUAAACAAAUGGCAUCAGACAAUACUUACUGGUGAUUGAAGAAACUGCCCAUGGGAUCAUAACAGAAGCCCCGGUGAUAGUCUUCUCAGAUUGAACCACAGCACUAAUGGAGAUUACCAAAAUUUAUAGGAUAAGAUUACUGAAAUUUCUAUGUUGUUUUAUCCCAUUGAAAUCAAUGGAAAGCAAAGGACAGGAAAGAGCCAAACAGACAAUUUUCCCCUCUCAUCUCUAUGAUAUGGUCCCUCCUUACAGUUCUUCUGGAAAAGUCCAGAGUGCCAAGCAAAUAUACUGACUCUGGGGUCCUGCUGUGCUGCAUCGUGGCUCAUUGUGAACCAGUGGUCAAUCCAGGAGGCCAUCUCCAUAGAUACUUUGCAUCAUUUCCUUUCCCUCCCCUUCACCACUGGGGACUUACACUUCCCAAAUAAAAUAUCAACAAUUCAAUCCAUAUCCCUGCAUUCUAGACGCUUAGCACACUCCCAUGACCCACAUGCUGGUGAGGAUGUUGAGUUCAUGUGAAGCCUUGGUAAUUUUGGUUGGAAACAUGUUUCUAGAAUCAAGGCAAUGUGGUUUGGUCAAAUUCAGAUGAGAUUGUGGAGCCGCGUGUCCUAGAUUCCAGCUUUGGCUCUAGACCUUAUAAACCAACCCUGUGGCCUUUUAUCUCUCUCAUCAGUCUAAUGGAAAUCAUAUUACCUGCCUUCCUUAUCUGGAAAUGUCAUCAUCAGGAUCAAGAGAGAUAAGGUUUGAGAAAGUAAUGUGUAAGCCAUUAAGUAGUACACAGAUGACCAUUACUGCUGUCAAACAGGAAUUUGAUGCAAUGAACUCUGUUCCCCUUUUCUGUCAAUACAAGUUCAGUGUUAAACAUUUAUACAGUUGUGAAAACUUCAAGUAAGUUGCGUGUGUUUUUUGGCUUUUAUACAAAUGAUAUUUUACCAGAGCAGUGGUCAAAAAACUAUGACCCACAGGUGAAAUUCUAAAGGCAGUCCUUUUUGUAAACAAAGUUUUAUUGGAACUCAGCCAUGUGCAUUUCUUUACAUAUUGCCACAGCCACUUUCACACUACCAGGGCAGAGUUGAGUAUUUUCAGUUGUGACAGAGACUGUCUGGCCCAAAAGCUGAAAAUAUUUACUAUUUGGCCCUUCAUAGAAAACGUUUGCCAAUGCCUCUGCUAGAGGAAAU
RNAcentral lists this long non-coding RNA (1648 nucleotides) under Homo sapiens (human). RNAcentral describes it as "HSALNT0231135". The record is from RNAcentral. Lineage: Eukaryota; Metazoa; Chordata; Mammalia; Primates; Hominidae.